This 500-nucleotide ribosomal RNA is filed under the name uncultured bacterium. Its description in RNAcentral is "partial 16S ribosomal RNA". It matches the Rfam family "Bacterial small subunit ribosomal RNA", at positions 30 to 523 of the family's 1533-position model. The record is from RNAcentral.
AUUGAACGCUGGCGGCAUGCCUUACACAUGCAAGUCGAACGGCAGCACGGGAGCAAUCCUGGUGGCGAGUGGCGAACGGGUGAGUAAAGUAUCGGAACGUGCCCAGUCGUGGGGGAUAACGUAGCGAAAGUUACGCUAAUACCGCAUACGAUCUAUGGAUGAAAGCGGGGGAUCGCAAGACCUCGCGCGAUUGGAGCGGCCGAUAUCAGAUUAGGUAGUUGGUGGGGUAAAGGCUCACCAAGCCGACGAUCUGUAGCUGGUCUGAGAGGACGACCAGCCACACUGGGACUGAGACACGGCCCAGACUCCUACGGGAGGCAGCAGUGGGGAAUUUUGGACAAUGGGCGAAAGCCUGAUCCAGCCAUGCCGCGUGCAGGAUGAAGGCCUUCGGGUUGUAAACUGCUUUUGUACGGAACGAAAAGGUUUGGCCUAAUAAGCUGAGCUCAUGACGGUACCGUAAGAAUAAGCACCGGCUAACUCUGUGCCAGCCGCCGCAGUAA